UCCCCAUUAGCUCAAUGGCAGAGCAUUCGACUGUUAAUCGAAGGGUUACUGGUUCGAGUCCAGUAUGGGGAG
This 72-nucleotide transfer RNA is filed under the name Corynebacterium mendelii. It matches the Rfam family "tRNA". From Rfam's summary of the family: Transfer RNA (tRNA) molecules are approximately 80 nucleotides in length. Their secondary structure includes four short double-helical elements and three loops (D, anti-codon, and T loops). Further hydrogen bonds mediate the characteristic L-shaped molecular structure. tRNAs have two regions of fundamental functional importance: the anti-codon, which is responsible for specific mRNA codon recognition, and the 3' end, to which the tRNAs corresponding amino acid is attached (by aminoacyl-tRNA synthetases). tRNAs cope with the degeneracy of the genetic code in two manners: having more than one tRNA (with a specific anti-codon) for a particular amino acid; and 'wobble' base-pairing, i.e. permitting non-standard base-pairing at the 3rd anti-codon position. Lineage: Bacteria; Bacillati; Actinomycetota; Actinomycetes; Mycobacteriales; Corynebacteriaceae. The record is from Rfam by way of RNAcentral.